RNAcentral lists this ribosomal RNA (478 nucleotides) under uncultured bacterium. RNAcentral's name for it is "partial 16S ribosomal RNA". It matches the Rfam family "Bacterial small subunit ribosomal RNA", at positions 28 to 523 of the family's 1533-position model. The record is from RNAcentral.
GACGAACGCUGGCGGCGUGCUUAACACAUGCAAGUCGAACGGUAAGGCCCUUCGGGGUACACGAGUGGCGAACGGGUGAGUAACACGUGGGUGAUCUGCCCUGCACUUCGGGAUAAGCCUGGGAAACCGGGUCUAAUACCGGAUAGGACCACUGCCUGCAUGGGUGGUGGUGGAAAGCUUUUGCGGUGUGGGAUGGGCCCGCGGCCUAUCAGCUUGUUGGUGGGGUGAUGGCCUACCAAGGCGACGACGGGUAGCCGGCCUGAGAGGGUGACCGGCCACACUGGGACUGAGAUACGGCCCAGACUCCUACGGGAGGCAGCAGUGGGGAAUAUUGCACAAUGGGCGCAAGCCUGAUGCAGCGACGCCGCGUGAGGGAUGACGGCCUUCGGGUUGUAAACCUCUUUCAGCACCGACGAAGCGCAAGUGACGGUAGGUGCAGAAGAAGGACCGGCUAACUUCGUGCCAGCCGCCGCAGUAA